This 1023-nucleotide non-coding RNA is filed under the name Pan troglodytes (chimpanzee). The record is from RNAcentral. Lineage: Eukaryota; Metazoa; Chordata; Mammalia; Primates; Hominidae.
CAGGCCUGAGCUCCGGAUAUUUCUCCUGUUCUGGAGACAGUGAGAAGUGAAAGAGAAAUGGCUGCCCCUGCACCACUUACCGCGAAGGAGGCUCAAGGCUGGGGGUCCCCUCUGCCUUCCGGUGACCGCCCGUGUCACAUCCUGACCCGCUCAGCAGGAGAACACAGCAGGUCCCUCCGACCGCAGUCGGCCUCUCCAGCCUGCCAUGCCUCUGGCCAUGAGGCGACCCGCUGGAGUGAUGGAUUCCGGUCACUACCACCCACAGGGCGAGGGGGUGCAUUGGUCUGCUUGGGCCGCUGUAACAAAAUGCCACAGCCUGGGUGAGUGACUGACAUUGCUUCCCCACCGUUCUGGAGGCUGGAGGCCCGAGAUCGAGGUCCCUGACACUAUUUCAGUGAUGCCGGAGCCCAGGAGGAGUCGACCAAGCCCCAGCGUGGCCAUAAGCACCUUCGCAGGACCACGGAGUCGCUGCAGGUGUUCAGCCCUGUUGAGAGUGGGAGUUGGUGUCGAUGGUCACAGCUCAGUAACUCAUCGUCACCAGCGAGUACCACAGAGCAGACACAACUGCGCUUCUCUGUAGAGCCUCCAGUCGAUACUGAGAGCCACUGGGGCGUCUGACACCCAAGGGUGCAGACAUUCACUCCAAGUCCAGAGACCGCGCCCUUUCUAAGGCCCUGACUCACAGUCGCCCCAUGCUCAUUGUGCCGGAUGUUUCCACAGCCACAAAGACGGUGAGGUGCAGCCUAGUGCAUAUGACUGACAGAAACAUGAAGCCACAGUGGAUGCCUGGAUGAGACACAGAUCACCUUCCAAAUCUGAGUGUGGCCUUGGGACCAACCAGGUAGCCAGGGAGAAGGCAGAGACCAGAGGGAACCCAGGUGCCCUCAAUCCCAGCCUCCUCUAUCCCAGCCUCCCAAUCCCAGCCUCCCCAAUCCCAGCCUCCUAAUCCCAGCCUCCUCCAUCCCAGGACCCCCACUCCCAGCCUCCUGAUCCCAGCUUCUCUGAUCCCAGCCUCCCCUAAAA